GAUGAAGAACGUAGCGAAAUGCGAUACGUAAUGUGAAUUGCAGAAUUCAGUGAAUCAUCGAGUCUUUGAACGCACAUUGCGCCCCCUGGUAUUCCGGGGGGCAUGCCUGUCCGAGCGUCAUUGCUGCCCUCAAGCACGGCUUGUGUGUUGGGCCUCCGCCCUCCUCCCGGGGGACGGGCCCGAAAGGCAGCGGCGGCACCGCGUCCGGUCCUCGAGCGUAUGGGGCUUCGUCACCCGCUCUUGUAGGCCCGGUCGGCGCUUGCCGACACAUCAAUCUUUUUUCCAGGUUGACCUCGGAUCAGGUAGGGAUACCCGCUGAACUUAAGCAUAUCAAUAAGCGGAGGA
RNAcentral lists this unclassified non-coding RNA (345 nucleotides) under soil metagenome. RNAcentral's name for it is "partial contains 5.8S ribosomal RNA, internal transcribed spacer 2, and large subunit ribosomal RNA". The stretch from base 1 to 120 matches the Rfam family "5.8S ribosomal RNA", at positions 35 to 154 of the family's 154-position model. The record is from RNAcentral.